ACUCAAUGAAAUGUUUAUCCAUAUGAUUAUAAGAUAAAAUAAGUGAUGGGACCAAAUGAGCGGUCCCAUUUGUCCUUCUUCAUAGAAUACAUGUACACAAAUGUUCGUUGUUCCUUUCCCCGUAUCUUCCAAAAAUACUGAAAAAGCUGGUGUAGAGUGGAAGGGUCGUCGCUCAAUGGAUAAAAGUUACUCUAGGGAUAACAGGCUGAUCUUCCCCAAGAGUUCACAUCGGCGGGAAGGUUUGGCACCUCGAUGUCGACUAUUCGCCACCUAGGGCGGUAGUACGUUCCAAGGGUUGGGCGUGACUCUGUGCCUAGCAUUUCUCUAAAAUGUUUCCACAUUCUUUCUGUCUGGUGGGGUAGCUUUCUUUUUCCUAUAGGCCAUCUUUUCGUACUGAAUUUCCCCCUUUGCACUAAGGUGAAGCAGGGCAAUUUCUUAGAUGGGUGAGGUC
Non-coding RNA from Picea glauca (white spruce), 451 nucleotides. Lineage: Eukaryota; Viridiplantae; Streptophyta; Pinopsida; Pinales; Pinaceae. The record is from Rfam.